RNAcentral lists this long non-coding RNA (508 nucleotides) under Malus domestica (apple). RNAcentral describes it as "long non-coding RNA (MDOM_LNC014483)". The record is from RNAcentral. Lineage: Eukaryota; Viridiplantae; Streptophyta; Magnoliopsida; Rosales; Rosaceae.
AAACACUACCUCGGACCGUUCGAGUCGUUUGGCAAGAUCCAGCCGCACGAUCCGCCGUUUACGGAGGACCUGCCUCGACUGGAUACCCCGAAUUUCUAUUACACGCAGGAGGACCUUUUGUUUGCUGAGGUGGAGAAGAAAGAGGAUCUGACUUGGUCGGUGCACCGGCCCGAUAUGAUUUUCGGGUUUUCCCCUUACAGCAUGAUGAAUAUUGUCGGCACGCUCUGCGUCUACGCCGCGAUAUGCAAGCACGAGGGGCUGCCGCUGAGGUUUCCGGGAAGCAAAGCGGCGUGGAAUUCGUACUCGGUGGCUUCGGAUGCUGAUCUGAUAGCGGAGCAUCACAUAUGGGCGGCGGUGGACCCGUAUGCGAAAAACGAAGCGUUUAACAUCAACAACGGGGAUGUGUUUAAGUGGAAGCAUUUCUGGAAGGUGCUGGCGGAGCAGUUUGGGAUAGAGGAGUACGGGAUUGAUGAGGGAGGCGGGAGGCUGAGGUUGGCGGAGCGGAUGA